AUGGGGCAGAAUGUCUGGCUUAAAGAUGGUGUUGUGCCAACCCUUUUCAACUUUCCAGCUCAUCUUCAAAGUUCUGUAGCAACAAGAAGCACAACCACAGCUAAAAGAGCGGAAGACAACCUUGCAAUGGACUUGAUGCCUGGUGUUGGAGCUACUGGAGAGAGGAGAUUGAGCCGCAAGCGGCAGGCCACUGACGACCACUUGUAUGCAUUGCCUGUUUGCCCUACGGCUAUGAAGGCCAAACUUGAAGAAGCCUCAGCGAGAGUGAGGAAACAGGGCCAAGAACAACAUGCAGGCUGUUCUGGAGGAACUGAAGGAGAAAAACCUCAUCAACGAAGAGCUGAAAGACAAGCUUGAAUGCUAUGACUUUUUCUAAUUGAAUUUCCGAUCUUCCGGUUCAUCUCCUGUCGAGGCAAGGCGUAGAGUACACCAAGGCCCAGAGAGAUCUUGCCCUUACGCUCCAUCUGCAUGGUCCAAAUGCAUAUCACUACCUGAGAGAUACUCUGCACAUUGACCUGCCACAUCCCAGUUCACUGCAUUCAAGGUAUUCUUCAUGAUGUCUAAUUUUACACUGAAUUACAUUAAGCACUAUAGACAAUAUUAUUUAGUGUGUCCACCAUAGGGAUGCUUGUGUUAGUGGUUAAAUGACUACGUGGUUAAAUAUCUUCUUUUUAAUUAUACAAGGUGGCUGAGCUCUCUUGAUGCCAGACCUGGUCUCAAUAAAAUGAUGUUGGACAUGCUGGAAAGACGGCGUCAGGAAGAUGAGGUCAAAUACGGAUUUGUCACUCUGAUGCUGGAUGCCAUGUACAUCAAAAAACACAUCCAACAUGAUCCUCAGACACAAAUAAUGUUUGGAUAAGUGGACAUGGGGGAUCGACUGAAUGAGACUGACAUAGCUUCUGUGGUUCUUGUGUUUAUGGUGGUUGGGCUUCAAGGUUAUUGGAAAGCUCCAAUUGCAUAUUAUUUGACCAAGUCCCUCACACCAGAAUCACAGAAAGUGUUAGUAGAACAUGCAUUAGGCAAGGCAAGGCAAGGCAACUUUAUUUAUAUAGCACUUUUCAUACACAAGGCAGACUCAAAGUGCUUCACAUAUAAACAUUGUUAUACAAUAAAAUAAUCUAUAAGUAAAAGAAAACAUAUGCAAAGAAAUGAGUAAAAUAGAAAGUAAAAAAGGCUUUUUAGUAAGUAAAAUUGAAAGUGCAAUGUAUUUAAGAAAGUGAGAAAAUUAAAUUGAAAGUUAUUUAAGAUCAGAUCAACAGACUCUCUGGAACCCAAGUCGGGACCACAACCCGACCUUAAGGACAAUCUAUUACAAUAUUCUAGGACUCUAGCCCAGAACCAAAGGCAAACAACAAACAACAAACAAUUAUUCUAGGACUCUAGCCCAGACAACAAACAAAUUCACACUUCGUCAAGCUCUUAAUGACACAACUUCAUUACUCAGCAAAUGUCAUGUAUUUUUCUGGUAAAAAUAGAAAAUAAAGGGAAAGUUAAAAAGGCAUUUUAGUAAAAU
RNAcentral lists this long non-coding RNA (1513 nucleotides) under Gadus morhua (Atlantic cod). Its description in RNAcentral is "lncRNA (ENSGMOG00000029021.1)". Lineage: Eukaryota; Metazoa; Chordata; Actinopteri; Gadiformes; Gadidae. The record is from RNAcentral.